CAGUCGCCGCGGUAAUACGGAGGAUCCAAGCGUUAUCCGGAAUCAUUGGGUUUAAAGGGUCCGUAGGCGGUCUUGUAAGUCAGUGGUGAAAGCCCAUCGCUCAACGGUGGAACGGCCAUUGAUACUGCAGGACUUGAAUUAUUGGGAAGUAACUAGAAUAUGUAGUGUAGCGGUGAAAUGCUUAGAGAUUACAUGGAAUACCAAUUGCGAAGGCAGGUUACUACCAAUUGAUUGACGCUGAUGGACGAAAGCGUGGGGAGCAAACAGGAUUAGAUACCCGGGUAGUCCCUGUCUCUUAUAC
RNAcentral lists this ribosomal RNA (301 nucleotides) under uncultured bacterium. RNAcentral's name for it is "partial 16S ribosomal RNA". It matches the Rfam family "Bacterial small subunit ribosomal RNA", at positions 509 to 807 of the family's 1533-position model. The record is from RNAcentral.